Molecule: non-coding RNA, 145 nt
Filed under: Rhodnius prolixus
Lineage: Eukaryota; Metazoa; Arthropoda; Insecta; Hemiptera; Reduviidae
Description: Eukaryotic small subunit ribosomal RNA
Rfam family: Eukaryotic small subunit ribosomal RNA
Source: Rfam by way of RNAcentral
ACGUUCACUUUGAACAAAUUAGAGUGCUUAAAGCAGGCUGAAAUAUCUGCCUGAAUAGUGGUGCAUGGAAUGAUAAAACAGGACCUCGGUUCUAUUUUGUUGGUUUUAGGAAUAUGAGGUAAUGAUCAAUGUGGACUGGCGGGGG